UAAUACGUAGGGCGCAAGCGUUGUCCGGAUUUAUUGGGCGUAAAGAGCUCGUAGGCGGUCUGUCGCGUCGGAUGUGAAAACCCGGAGCUCAACUCCGGGCCUGCAUUCGAUACGGGCAGACUUGAGUACUGCAGGGGAGACUGGAAUUCCUGGUGUAGCGGUGGAAUGCGCAGAUAUCAGGAGGAACACCGGUGGCGAAGGCGGGUCUCUGGGCAGAAACUGACGCUGAGGAGCGAAAGCGUGGGGAGCGAACAGG
This 256-nucleotide ribosomal RNA is filed under the name uncultured bacterium. Its description in RNAcentral is "partial 16S ribosomal RNA". It matches the Rfam family "Bacterial small subunit ribosomal RNA", at positions 521 to 776 of the family's 1533-position model. The record is from RNAcentral.